GAGCAGCGAAGCCGCGAGGCGGAGCAAAUCUCCAAAAAAUGUCUCAGUUCAGAUUGCAGGCUGCAACCCGCCUGCAUGAAGUCGGAAUUGCUAGUAAUCGUAGGUCAGCAUACUACGGUGAAUACGUUCCCGGGCCUUGUACACACCGCCCGUCAAACCAUGAGAGUUGGCAACAUCCGAAGUCGGUAGUCUAACCGCAAGGAGGACGCCGCCGAAGGUGGGGUUGAUGAUUAGGGUUAAGUCGUAACAAGGUAGC
This 256-nucleotide ribosomal RNA is filed under the name uncultured bacterium. RNAcentral describes it as "partial 16S ribosomal RNA". It matches the Rfam family "Bacterial small subunit ribosomal RNA", at positions 1244 to 1500 of the family's 1533-position model. The record is from RNAcentral.